UAGACUUGACUGCGAUGGGGUGGGAG
Molecule: non-coding RNA, 26 nt
Filed under: Mus musculus (house mouse)
Lineage: Eukaryota; Metazoa; Chordata; Mammalia; Rodentia; Muridae
Source: RNAcentral